This is a non-coding RNA of Chlorocebus sabaeus (green monkey), 4848 nucleotides long. The record is from RefSeq and is a predicted model, not a curated record. NCBI's taxonomy places the organism in Eukaryota, Metazoa, Chordata, Mammalia, Primates, Cercopithecidae.
GCUAGUCUGGAACUCCUGGGCUUGAGUGAUCUUCUUGCUUUGGCCUCCCGUGCUGGGAUUACUGUGCCCAGCUGAUGGAUGCCAUACUCGCAGUGAUAAUAUUAAUUUUAUUUUCAUUUUUCCUGCUAAUAAGUUACAUUCAUAUGGUCAAGGAAUUAGUAGUGUUUCAGUCAAUAAAAUCUACUUACUUUCGCAACAACAAAAGUGUUGAUUCCAUGAUGAUAUGAGAGGUUGUUUAAAAUCUAUUUUUAGAAAUAACAGAUUAUGUUACUACCAGGAACUUUGAAUUUAUUUCCACAUUUGCCACCUAAAAUUUUAAGUCAUGAGUAUAUUGUAUAAUAAUAGUAUUACAGUAGGGUUUUUUGAUGUGUCAAUAUUUUGCAACUCCUUUUGUCUAGUGGUGAAAUAUAUUUCGCCACACAAUCCAUCUAGGAGUGUAAUUUCCCUUCCUUGGGCCAAUUAUGUGUUAACAAAUGUGGUGCCAGCAGAGACUUGAAAAGUGUUUUCACAUUGGAUUUUGCUCUGUUUAUUGCUGUGAACCUUGAGACAUCUGUACCAAGUAGCCUGGGCUAGCCUCCUGGAGGAAGAGAGCCCCAACCAUUUAAUGUUGCUGCAAAGGCAAACAGGUGCACACUUAGAUCUUCUCUCAGGAAUGCAUAUGAUGUCACAGUGAUUACUUUGUUCCAAAAAACAUUGCUUUGGUUGAAAACCAGACUCAAUGAAAAUGAACAAUCUAUAAUUUAAUUUCUAAAUUUUAAAUUUUAGUUAAUGUAUCUCUCUGUGUGUGUGUGUGUGUGUGUGUGUGUGUGUGUGUGUGUGUAUGUGUGCAUCCAUUACAUAGCAUUACUUCGGAUCACUGAUAUUUUUUCAUUUUGCAAAUAUUGUAUCAUUAAUCUGUCAUUAUGCUGAUACUUUCCCUACUUUUAAUUUAUUUAUACUCAUUUCUCCCUGUAUCUAUUGAAUAAUCUAAAUAAAGCUAUUAGCCAUCAUUUAGUUAACAAGGGUAUCCUCUGACUCUUAUUUGUGAAUGCAUUUCCUUGCUCCUGUCUCAUAGCUAGAACUUUUCAAUAAGGUCUUUGUUUGAUGUGGGUUGAAAUGGAGCAAGCUUAUCUCACAGAAAUAUAAUGUGCUAACCCAAUAGUCUUGACCGAAGAUAAAUCACUCAUUUAAUGGGCUCUGCUUGAAAUGCAGAGGGUUGACCACAAAAGACCACUUUUUGUCUCUUUGUCUUAGGUCCAAACCGAAACUGAAUUUGUUGGUCAUAUAUUCUUAUUCUAAGAUCAUUUGUUCACCUCUGCACACUGCAAUACAGUCUAAUGUAAUUGCUAGUCCUUUAAAAGAAAAGAGAAGAAAAGAAAAGAGAAGAAAAGAAAAGAGAAGAGAAGAGAAGAGAAGAGAAGAGAAGAGAAAAGAAAAGAAAAGAAAAAAAAGAAAAGAAAAGAAAAGAAAAGAAAAGAAAAGAAAAGAAAAGAAAAGAGAAAAGAAAAGAGAAAAAGACCAGUGGCAUCACUCCUGAGGCCAGGCCACUCCUGAGGUUCUCUGACAGAAUAAGUGAGGUUAUCAUCAAGUCUUCUGCCUAGUGUUAGUAUCAUUAGCUUUUCAUUUUAUGACAAGGCAACUAUUUUUAAGAUAAAAUAAUGAAUAGUGGGGAAUGUGUUAAGGAAUCUGAUUUCUGAAAUAUUUUUUUAAGUUCUUAAAUGAAGAGAUAAAAUAUUUUUAAAGCAACAUAUUUUAUUUUGAAAAAUAGAUUGAUAAAGCAGGAAGGAAAUUUGAUUAUUCUUAUUUAUUCAGGAAGUUUGCUCAGGAAUGCAGUGAUAAGAAUCUGUUAAAAAAUAAGGGGAGAUAUACAUUUACAUUAAUUUUAGUUGCAUCAGAUUUUUUUUUGAGGGAUGGUAAAGGUCCCAGCUAUAUUGAAAAACUACCUAACUAGUUUCAAUUUCUCACAGAUAAUCAAAACUUUAUAUAGUACAAAGAGAAUUUUCUAUUUUUAUGUGUCUCAUACAGGAAAUAAAAAUUCUCUUCAGAAAAAUAAUGCAUAUAUGCAUUUAAUAAAAUAAAUAAAUGCAUACACCACCUCCUCGAUAUUUUGGAGUUGUUGAGGCACUCUCUGAAUAUGAACCCCCAUACCUCGGUCACUCAAAUUUCUAAUUCUACCCAACCCCCCUACCCCCAAUCAUAUGCCUUUGUUUUCUAAUGAUAUGCCUUUCUACAAACAAUUUUCUCCAACUGGGAUGACUAUAUCGCUUUCGUUACAUAACAGAAUUUUAUUUAUCUACAUUUUAAAUACCACCUUGUUUUCACAGUGUUCUUAGCUUAUUGCUAGUUGCAAUUAAACUCUUCACCUCAUAUUCUUAAGAUAGGUGCUUCUUAGCACUUAAAAAACUGCCUCCCAUUUCCAUCCUGAGCCUCUGCAGGCCAGUAACUGUAUUUCAUUCCUUCCUCUAUCAACUACCAUUCCUUGUGUAUAUUUGGAGUUACAUAAAUGCUGUUUGAAUUAGGAGUGAUAUAUUUUGAUAGCCUUUAAUAUGAUGAAGACUGUUAUAAAAAAUAUUUAAAUCAUAUUUUUCUAGAGUUAGAAAUGAUCUAGAAAAAUAUGAAUUUGAGUUUAAAUAAAUGUUAUAGCAGCAUAAUGAAUCCAUUGAUCCUGAAUGAUAACUGAAACUUAAAUGAAUCACUUAUUUAACGAUUGUGUGGUGACAGUAUCUAAUAUUUAUCAACAUUGUUCAAUAUUUUAGCAACUUUAGGAAACUUGUAAGCAAAAUAAAAUGCCUAGAUUGUUUUUAGCAGUAAUAUUUAGUAUCAAUCUUGGAAUUGUUGCUUUUGGGAGAAAUUCUGUACUGAAUGAUUAAUUCUGUACUCCAAAUUGAUUCUGUUGAGUAUAUAUUUUAUUUGGAUUGCUUUCAGAUAUUGCACUGUGAUUUAGUGUUCUAUUAAUAUCAUAUAAAACUUGUAAAAUAUAGUUCAUAAGGUGAAGGUAUCCCUUUUCCUUAACCACAAGUUUCUACUCUAUCUAAUAACCAAAUCACAAUCCUUUGAUAAAUUAAAAAGUUAGCCAGAUGCUUUUAGUUCCUCGCAAAGCCACUGAUUCAAAUCAAACACAACAUACUACUUUAUUGGGUUCUCCCAAACAAUCAAAGUGUCUGCAAUGGGUUUGGAAGUAAUCUUAGUUGUGAGGUGUAGGUUUUGGGCUUCUUACAUGAAAGAAAAUAUACACAAAGGAGGAAAGGCCAAAUUAUAGUUUGACUAUGUAAAUGGUAACAUCAGCUCACACCAUCUGUAUAACCUACAUGUAGUGAGCUGUAGAUUUAAAAAAUGAUGAUAGUAUUCCUAUUGGCCAUCAUUUUAAACUCUUGGAACAGUUAGCAAGAAGUUAUAUUUCUCUGUUCCAUAAAUGAAGAAACAAAAAACCUUCUUACAAAUAUUAUGUUUGUUUCACAGUGGAAGUAGCAUUCUUAGGCUUUUCCUAUCGAAACAGCUAAUUUCUUGCUAAACAGAGAAUAUGAUUAAAUAGAGCAAGAAAUGACAAACUAUUUCAAAGAGUUUUAUUCUUUUUUUUUUUUUUUUUUUUUUUUGAGAGGGAGUCUCUCUCUGUCUCCCAGGCUGGAGUGCAGUGUUGCAAUCUCGGCUCAUUGUAACUUCUUCCCCCUGGGUUCAACUGACUCUCCUGCCUCAGCCUCCCGAAUAGCUGUCACUAUCGGUGCGUCCCCCGACGCCCGGCCAAUUUUUUGUAUUUUUAGUAGAGACGGGGUUUCACUGUGUUAGCCAGGAUGGUCUCAAUCUCCUGACCUCAUGAUACACCUGCCUCGGCCUCCCAAAGUGCUGGGAUUACAGGCGUGAGUCACAGCGCCCAGCCUAAGAGUUUUAUUCUUAAAAAUUGAGUAGACAAUCAAGUGGUAAGAAAUUAUAAUCGAGUAAGUUAAAAUGAACAUGAUGUUGUAGGUGGGUUUAUGCAUUUAUUUAUUUUAUUAAAUGUAUAUAUGCAUUUUUUCUGAAGAGGAUAUUCAUUUCCUUAAUCUCAUUAUGCAAAUAGUUCAUGACACCAAAAUGAACCAAUGCAAAAAAAAAUAAUAAUUAAAAAAUAAAUAAACCACAUGCACACACAAUUUCAAGAGCAUUCUUAUGCCCACGUAUGGACCUUAUUUAGCAGAGGACAAAAUGUAAAUGAAGUCUAAAAGACUAAUAAACAUGGUAGAGGGGUUCAAGUAAAAAGAGGAAUCUAAACCAGAUGAGAGGUAAUCACGUGUUUGGGUGGAGAGUAAAUAGAGGAUUUGUAUUUACUAUUUGAAAUCUAGUUGUCUAUUUAUUGUUUAUCCCUCCAUACUGUUUAGGUAGUGGUGACCAAAGUCAUAGUUUGACAAGACACUGGACUCCAUAGUACCUUCAGCAUUGGAAAUGUUUAUGAAAUAUAAUCUAAGGUUUUAGCCAAGUUUGCCAAGCAUCUGAAUCCUGUCAACAAAGUGCUAAAAUCCAUAACUCUGAAAACCCUCUUUUAACCAAUAACUAAUGCUCUUCAACUCAAGUGGAACUGAAAAACUUAAGAAAAUGUGAAAGCAAUCUCCUAUCAGUAAGCCAGGCUGUUUCUAUUUCAAUUUGUGUGUGUUAGCGGGGCGGGGAGUGGGGUACAAAAGUAAUAGAAAUACAGAUAUGAACUGUCUAUCCUAUGCAGUGUAUUUCUGGGCUACUGAGUGACGAGGGACAAUGACAAAUCUCCAAAAUAGGUGUCAGAGCAUACCAAGCUUUCUUUCAAUGUAAGUAUUUUGUGCUUCAAAUAUAGAAUUCAUAUAAUAAUGAUAAUACAGAUACUAUUUUUUAAUGUCAUUAAUGAAAUAAAAUUUAAAUUUUAAAAAU